Molecule: ribosomal RNA, 630 nt
Filed under: uncultured bacterium
Lineage: Bacteria
Description: bacterial SSU rRNA
Rfam family: Bacterial small subunit ribosomal RNA
Source: RNAcentral
UGGGACUCUUGAAGUCUUAGUGGCGCAGCUAACGCACUAAGUAGACCGCCUGGGGAGUACGGCCGCAAGGUUAAAACUCAAAUGAAUUGACGGGGGCCCGCACAAGCGGUGGAGCAUGUGGUUUAAUUCGACGCAACGCGAAGAACCUUACCUGGCCUUGACAUGCAGAGAACUUUCCAGAGAUGGAUUGGUGCCUUCGGGAACUCUGACACAGGUGCUGCAUGGCCGUCGUCAGCUCGUGUCGUGAGAUGUUGGGUUAAGUCCCGUAACGAGCGCAACCCCUAUCCCUAGUUGCUAGCAGUUCGGCUGAGAACUCUAGGGAGACUGCCGGUGACAAACCGGAGGAAGGUGGGGAUGACGUCAGGUCAUCNUGGCCCUUACGGCCAGGGCUACACACGUGCUACAAUGGUGCGUACAGAGGGCUGCAAACCCGCGAGGGGGAGCUAAUCUCACAAAACGCAUCGUAGUCCGGAUCGGAGUCUGCAACUCGACUCCGUGAAGUCGGAAUCGCUAGUAAUCGCGAAUCAGAAUGUCGCGGUGAAUACGUUCCCGGGCCUUGUACACACCGCCCGUCACACCAUGGGAGUGGAUUGCACCAGAAGUGGUUAGUCUAACCUUCGGGAGGACGAU